GUGCUAGCUUUGUUCACACAUACACUAAAACUGGAACAACAUAGAUUAGCAUGGGCCCUGCACAAGGAUGACACAAAAAUUCAUGAAGAGUUUACAAAAAGAUUUUUUU
This is a small nuclear RNA of Phodopus roborovskii (desert hamster), 109 nucleotides long. Lineage: Eukaryota; Metazoa; Chordata; Mammalia; Rodentia; Cricetidae. The record is from RefSeq and is a predicted model, not a curated record.